GACGUCGGGAGCAGGAGCGAGCGGCCAGCCGCGCGGCGCCUCGUGGGGAUGAAUGGGAGGCGCAGGGGGCGGCGGGCCCCGCGAGGCCGCCCGUCCUCCAGCCCCCGCGGCGCUCAUCGUCCUUACCAUCGCGACCACCGGCGAGCGCUGCACCCCGCUAGCCGCCGACUCCGCCGCUGCCCGCCCCUCGUGACCGGAGCGGCUGCCGCUACACCCAAGCGACCCGCGCUAAAAGAAAUGGCCGCCAAAAGGCGGCCUGACCUUUCACCUCCCGCCGCCUUGUCUCGGCUUCUGUGAUUGGUCACCAAAGACGUGUUUACUGAUUGGAGGGGAUGGCGGUACUGUUUCCUAGCAACCAGUGCCAUCUGCCUUGUCCCUGUCAUUUUAAGGGCUAUACAUAAAAGUUCCAAGAGGAAGGAAUGACACAUGAACUGUUUCCUGGUGCACGUUGACUGAUUGUGACAAGACAAACAGGAAUGUCUGCUGAAUGACCCUUCUAGAUCCCUGUGGGUGUCUUGGCAACGAGCUGGCCAGGCCUGGUGGCUUCUUCUUGCCUCUCUCCAAGGACUUGCAGUUCUGGGCAGCUGUUGUUCCCUGCACUGGAAUGUGACCUCCUCGAUGAGUAACUGGUACCCAUGUGCGGACUGAUCUCCCUCCAUACACAAGACUCUUCCCGCUUUGAGUCUUUGAAGUUCAGGCCACCCCCAGGCAAAUGUAACAUGAAGGUGCCAGGCCUAUGGAGGACUUGUCUGUUUAUUCCUGCCAGGUUUGUGUGGCCCUCUGCUCAGCUGGGGGCUAGCCAAGCCGUCAUGCAGAUAGCUCAGGGAAUACAGGUGCGUGCUGCCAAGCCGGACAACUUGAGUCAGAUCCCUGGAACCUACAGGGGGAAGGAGAGACUACAUCCCUGAGGCUUGUUCUUUGACCCCACAUAUGCACUGUGAUCAAAAUAUGUGACUACACGUGACCUACAAGCCUGCACAGCUAUGCACUUGUUUUGCUUCAAUAACAUAUGAACUAGUAUUGACACAUACUGGGAAUUAAUAUGCAUUCAAAGGAUUUCUUCAUAAGAUGAUUCCCCAUGCUUGCGGUGCAUGGUGAGCAACGAGAGUGUUCUGCUCUUUACGCUCUUAUCCCGGACUGUGAUUAAAGCCACAUUAAUGCAAACAUGACUAAUUUGGAAUUUAUGGGAAUUCCAUUGGAGCUGAACUUAGCCAUUGUUCUCUGAAAAAAAAAAAAACUUAUUAAGAAAAUUACCACAUAAAAAAGAAUGCCAAAUGACUCCCUAGAGAGCCACAGAGACUUUCUGACUUCUAAGAGGCAUCCCAGAUACCACCAAAAAGGUACAAGCAUAACUAAAGGCCCACGGCUUCCAGUAAGAUCACCAGACAACCAAAUCGGUAUCUCGUUUUUCUAUUCCUGGAGCAACCUUCAGAUAAGCCAAGUUUAUUUAUUUCAUAUAUAAAGCAUAA
Molecule: non-coding RNA, 1469 nt
Organism: Mus caroli (Ryukyu mouse)
Lineage: Eukaryota; Metazoa; Chordata; Mammalia; Rodentia; Muridae
Source: RefSeq, a predicted model, not a curated record